GGAAUAUUGGACAAUGGGCGAAAGCCUGAUCCAGCAACGCCGCGUGGAGGAAGAAGGCCUUCGGGUCGUAAACUCCUGUCAGGUGGGACGAAACCGCGGGGGUCAAUAGCCCCUGCGGUUGACGGUACCACCAGAGGAAGCCCCGGCUAACUCCGUGCCAGCAGCCGCGGUAAUACGGAGGGGGCAAGCGUUUUUCGGAAUGAUUGGGCGAAAAGGGCGGGCAGGCGGCCUGGCAAGGCUCGGGUGAAAUCCCUCGGCUCAACCGAGGAAUUGCCCUGGAUACUGCCAGGCUCGAGGCCGGGAGGGGGUAGCGGAAUUCCCAGUGUAGCGGUGAAAUGCGUAGAUAUUGGGAGGAACACCAGUGGCGAAGGCGGCUACCUGGACCGGUUCUGACGCUGAGGCGCGAAAGCGUGGGGAGCAAAC
Molecule: ribosomal RNA, 423 nt
Filed under: uncultured bacterium
Lineage: Bacteria
Description: bacterial SSU rRNA
Rfam family: Bacterial small subunit ribosomal RNA
Source: RNAcentral